This 752-nucleotide unclassified non-coding RNA is filed under the name Leishmania donovani. Its description in RNAcentral is "gene:LdHU3.23.0610(CDS-product:cytochrome_c_oxida se_subunit_10_putative)". Lineage: Eukaryota; Euglenozoa; Kinetoplastea; Trypanosomatida; Trypanosomatidae. The record is from RNAcentral.
UGUGCUCUAAGUCUAACGCACUGAUUCCCCCUCCCCCACUCUCUCAAUCGUCUCUGAUACAAUCGGCCGAGUAUCCCCGAUAGAGAUAAGGUAUCACGACAAGGAUGCGUCGUUUCACGUCCCGCAUUGCGGCCUUCGCGGCCGUGCCGGCGGCUGAGCAGACCCGCCAGCUUCACUUCCCCAUUUCGCCCCCACCGAUUGAGAUCGACUACCUUGAUAGCGACCCGCUUGAGUUCGCCGUGCGCACGGAGGCGCGCAGGUGGGGCUUUGAUGACUUGCAGUACAUGCGUGAGCUCGCGUUUGUACGCAUCAAGAAUAACCCGUCGAUCGGCGACUUCCGCAACAUGACACCAGAGGAACGCCGCGACCUCUUCUGGGGUAGCGACCGUCAGGACUUCUUUCGCUACAUCACCUUAAAGCUGACGGGCCACCCCGAGCACCUCUAUCACCGCGGCUGGUAAGGAAUUAGGUGUGUGUGUGUGCACUCCGAAGUGCCUUGCUUUUUACGUUCCCCCCUUCUCAUCCACCCCUAUACGCUCUUGUGGCGCUUGAAGAGAGGGGGGGUGAAAGGCUGGCGUGGGUGAUGGCCCUCCUUCUCCUUUUACAUAUGUUUCGUGUAGCAAGCUGCCCGCCUUCCUCUCCUGUCCUGUUUUUUUUUUCUUACUUUUCCCCGUCGAACUACCCAUGUGUCGCCCCCCUCCCCUCUCCUCGACUACCACCACCACCACCGCCUCUCCUUGUCAUCGCACAAG